Molecule: long non-coding RNA, 269 nt
Filed under: Elaeis guineensis (African oil palm)
Lineage: Eukaryota; Viridiplantae; Streptophyta; Magnoliopsida; Arecales; Arecaceae
Description: long non-coding RNA (EGUI_LNC013418)
Source: RNAcentral
CCCCUAACUGAUUUUGAUUUGUUUCCUCUUAGUUCUAAAAAUAAUGUUAAAAUCUCUUGAAAUUCAACUUUUAUAAAGCAAUAACCACUGUCUAACGGCUGUGCCCUUGUAGACCCUCCUGGAUAGCAUUAUAGAACUAUAGAUGAGGAUACCUAGUCAUUCGAAAAAGAAAGGUGCAUCCAUGAUUUUAUGGUACAUUAUGUACAUACACGGCUAAGAAAUGCGACUAACAUAAAUUGUUGCUACAACAGUAGGAUCCUUCACAAGCC